CCUACGGGAGGCAGCAGUGAGGAAUAUUGGUCAAUGGUCGGGAGACUGAACCAGCCAAGCCGCGUGAGGGAGGAAGGUACAGAGUAUCGUAAACCUCUUUUGUCAGGGAACAAAGGCGGGGACGUGUCCCCGGAUGAGUGUACCUGAAGAAACAGCAUCGGCUAACUCCGUGCCAGCAGCCGCGGUAAUACGGAGGAUGCGAGCGUUAUCCGGAUUUAUUGGGUUUAAAGGGUGCGCAGGCGGUCUGUUAAGUCAGCGGUCAAAGCCCGGGGCUCAACCCCGGCCCGCCGUUGAAACUGGCAGGCUCGAGUUGGAGAGAAGUAUGCGGAAUGCGCGGUGUAGCGGUGAAAUGCAUAGAUAUCGCGCAGAACUCCGAUGGCGAAGGCAGCAUGCCGGCUCCACACUGACGCUGAGGCACGAAAGCGUGGGUAUCGAACAGGAUUAGAUACCCCGGUAGUC
Molecule: ribosomal RNA, 459 nt
Filed under: uncultured bacterium
Lineage: Bacteria
Description: partial 16S ribosomal RNA
Rfam family: Bacterial small subunit ribosomal RNA
Source: RNAcentral